CAGCCGCCGCGGUAAUACAGAGGGUGCGAGCGUUAAUCGGAUUUACUGGGCGUAAAGCGUGCGUAGGCGGCUUCUUAAGUCGGAUGUGAAAUCCCUGAGCUUAACUUAGGAAUUGCAUUCGAUACUGGGAAGCUAGAGUAUGGGAGAGGAUGGUAGAACUCCAGGUGUAGCGGUGAAAUGCGUAGAGAUCUGGAGGAAUACCGAUGGCGAAGGCAGCCAUCUGGCCUAAUACUGACGCUGAGGUACGAAAGCAUGGGGAGCAAACAGGAUUAGAUACCCCGGUAGUCCCUGUCUCUUAUAC
RNAcentral lists this ribosomal RNA (301 nucleotides) under uncultured bacterium. Its description in RNAcentral is "partial 16S ribosomal RNA". It matches the Rfam family "Bacterial small subunit ribosomal RNA", at positions 509 to 807 of the family's 1533-position model. The record is from RNAcentral.